CGGAGGAAAAGAAACCAACAGGGAUUGCCUCAGUAACGGCGAGUGAAGCGGCAAAAGCUCAAAUUUGAAAUCCCCCGGGAAUUGUAAUUUGAAGAGAUUUGGGUCCGGCCGGCGGGGGUUAAGUCCACUGGAAAGUGGCGCCACAGAGGGUGACAGCCCCGUGAACCCCUUCAACGCCCUCAUCCCAGAUCUCCAAGAGUCGAGUUGUUUGGGAAUGCAGCUCUAAGUGGGUGGUAAAUUCCAUCUAAAGCUAAAUACCGGCGAGAGACCGAUAGCGAACAAGUACAGUGAUGGAAAGAUGAAAAGCACUUUGAAAAGAGAGUGAAAAAGUACGUGAAAUUGUUGAAAGGGAAGGGCUUGCAAGCAGACACUUAACUGGGCCAGCAUCGGGGCGGCGGGGAACAAAACCACCGGGGAAUGUACCUUUCGAGGAUUAUAACCCCGGUCCUUACUUCCUCGCCGCCCCGAGGCCUGCAAUCUAAGGAUGCUGGCGUAAUGGUUGCAAGUCGCCCGUCUUG
Molecule: ribosomal RNA, 518 nt
Filed under: Metschnikowia sp. (in: budding yeasts & allies)
Lineage: Eukaryota; Fungi; Ascomycota; Pichiomycetes; Serinales; Metschnikowiaceae
Description: eukaryotic LSU rRNA
Rfam family: Eukaryotic large subunit ribosomal RNA
Source: RNAcentral